Asparagus officinalis (garden asparagus) is the source of this 396-nucleotide long non-coding RNA. RefSeq lists it as uncharacterized. Lineage: Eukaryota; Viridiplantae; Streptophyta; Magnoliopsida; Asparagales; Asparagaceae. The transcript is spliced from 3 exons. The record is from RefSeq and is a predicted model, not a curated record.
GGUCAAUUGUUUUCCGAAUUAGGGCUUGCUUCAAGUGUUCCAAUUGAUCCUGUGUCAAUUUCAUCAGGUCAUCAGAUAUUCUACUUGGUUGGAUUUGCCUUGUUUUUUUUUUUGAAAACAUUUCUAAAUUUGUCGGUGAUUCAGAUGAGUGGAGAAAUUACCCCCAUUUAUAUUGUUUGGCUAUCAUUCCCAUUUCAAUUGCUUGAUGUACGCUGCUAUGGAUUUACUUCAUGCACAUUGUAUUAAUAUAUCCUAUAUAAGGCGGCGAGGUUCUAAUUUAUACAUCUUGGGUAGAGCGUACAUGGUUAUUGAAAUGUUCAAAUGAGCUUUGUAUCUGCAUCCUGCCAAGAAAAUAUGGAUAAUAAUAAUAAUGAUAUGCAGUGUUUAUAUAUCUGU